UGUCCAGCAGUAUCCCAAAUCUGAGCUUUAACUUCUUUUCCAUCAAUUUCAAGAGUUUGGGUCUGAAACUCAACUCCAAUAGUUGCUUUUGAAUGCAAAUUAAACUCAUUUCUUGCAUAACGUGUAAGCAAAUUAGAUUUACCUACUGCAGAAUCACCAAUGAUUACAAUCUUGAAAAGAUACUCCUCACCCUCAUCAUCUGAAGAGUCCAUUUGCUGAAAAAUUGAAACUUUUUGAGGUUUAGAGAGAGAAAG
RNAcentral lists this unclassified non-coding RNA (254 nucleotides) under Hevea brasiliensis (rubber tree). The record is from RNAcentral. Lineage: Eukaryota; Viridiplantae; Streptophyta; Magnoliopsida; Malpighiales; Euphorbiaceae.